CACGUAGGGUGCAAACGUUGCUCGGAAUUAUUGGGCGUAAAGCGCACGUAGGCGGCUUGGCAAGUCGGAUGUGAGAUCCCUCGGCUCAACCAAGGAAGUGCAUCCGAAACUGCCGAGCUUGAGUACUUAAGAGGAUCGCGGAAUUCCCGGUGUAGAGGUGAAAUUCGUAGAUAUCGGGAGGAACACCAGUGGCGAAGGCGGCGAUCUGGGAAGAUACUGACGCUGAGGUGCGAAAGCGUGGGGAGCAAACAGG
RNAcentral lists this ribosomal RNA (253 nucleotides) under uncultured bacterium. RNAcentral's name for it is "partial 16S ribosomal RNA". It matches the Rfam family "Bacterial small subunit ribosomal RNA", at positions 524 to 776 of the family's 1533-position model. The record is from RNAcentral.